This 937-nucleotide ribosomal RNA is filed under the name uncultured Nitrospira sp. RNAcentral's name for it is "bacterial SSU rRNA". It matches the Rfam family "Bacterial small subunit ribosomal RNA", at positions 8 to 942 of the family's 1533-position model. The record is from RNAcentral. Lineage: Bacteria; Pseudomonadati; Nitrospirota; Nitrospiria; Nitrospirales; Nitrospiraceae.
AGAGUUUGAUCAUGGCUCACAAUGAACGCUGGCGGCGCGCCUAAUACAUGCAAGUCGAGCGAGAAGACGUAGCACUACGUUUGUAAAGCGGCGAACGGGUGAGGAAUACAUGGGUAACCUACCCUCGAGUGGGGAAUAACUAGCCGAAAGGUUACCUAAUACCGCGUACGCUCCUUGGACUUCGGUUCACGGAGGAAAGCGAUACCGAGGGUAUCGCGCUCUUGGAUGGGCUCAUGUCCUAUCAGCUUGUUGGUGAGGUAACGGCUCACCAAGGCUUCGACGGGUAGCUGGUCUGANAGGACGAUCAGCCACACUGGCACUGCGACACGGGCCAGACUCCUACGGGAGGCAGCAGUAAGGAAUAUUGCGCAAUGGGCGAAAGCCUGACGCAGCGACGCCGCGUGGGGGAUGAAGGUCUUCGGAUUGUAAACCCCUUUCGGGAGGGAAGAUGGAACGAGCAAUCGUUCGGACGGUACCUCCAGAAGCAUCCACGGUUAACUUCGUGCCACCAGCCGCGGUAAUACGAANGUGGGAAGCGUUAUUCGGAUUUACUGGGCGUACAGAGAGCGUAGGCGGUUCGGUAAGCCCUUUGUGAAAUCUCCAGGCUUAACCUGGAACAUGCGGAGGGGACUGCCGGGCUAGAGGACGGGAGAGGAGCGCGGAAUUCUCGGUGUAGCGGNGAAAUGCGUAGAGAUCGGGAGGAAUGCCGGUGGCGAAGGCGGCGCUCUGGAACGUUUCUGGCGCUGAGGCUCGAAAGCGUGGGGAGCAAACAGGAUUAGAUACCCUGGUAGUCCACGCCCUUAACUAUGAAUACUAAGUGUCGGCGGGUUACCGCCGGUGCCGCAGCUAACGCAGUAAGUAUCCCGCCUGGGGAGUACGGCCGCAGGGUUGAAACUCAAAGGAAUUGACGGGGGCCCGCACAAGCGGUGGAGCAUGU